UCCGUACGGAGGGCAGCAGUGGGGAAUUUUGGACAAUGGGCGAAAGCCUGAUCCAGCAAUGCCGCGUGUGUGAAGAAGGCCUUCGGGUUGUAAAGCACUUUUGUCCGGAAAGAAAUGGCUCUGGUUAAUACCUGGGGUCGAUGACGGUACCGGAAGAAUAAGGACCGGCUAACUACGUGCCAGCAGCCGCGGUA
RNAcentral lists this ribosomal RNA (194 nucleotides) under uncultured bacterium. RNAcentral's name for it is "partial 16S ribosomal RNA". It matches the Rfam family "Bacterial small subunit ribosomal RNA", at positions 335 to 522 of the family's 1533-position model. The record is from RNAcentral.